This is a long non-coding RNA of Drosophila arizonae, 189 nucleotides long. The record is from RefSeq and is a predicted model, not a curated record. NCBI's taxonomy places the organism in Eukaryota, Metazoa, Arthropoda, Insecta, Diptera, Drosophilidae.
UUCGUGUGUGUGUGUGUGUGUGUGUGUGUGUAUGUGUGUGCAUGCGUGUUUGUGUGUUUAUGUGUCCCUUUUUGGCACGCACGAUUGACUUUUGCAAUUGUUGUUUUUCGUGUCGUUUCGUUUUUUCUUGUACUUUUAGUUGCUGUCACUUUGCAUUUAGCUGGCAUUUAAUUUGUUAACAACUUAUUC